This 398-nucleotide ribosomal RNA is filed under the name uncultured bacterium. RNAcentral's name for it is "partial 16S ribosomal RNA". It matches the Rfam family "Bacterial small subunit ribosomal RNA", at positions 523 to 918 of the family's 1533-position model. The record is from RNAcentral.
AUACGUAGGGUGCGAGCGUUGUCCGGAAUUACUGGGCGUAAAGAGCUCGUAGGUGGUUUGUCGCGUCGUCUGUGAAAUUCCGGGGCUUAACUCCGGGCGUGCAGGCGAUACGGGCAUAACUUGAGUACUGUAGGGGAGACUGGAAUUCCUAGUGUAGCGGUGAAAUGCGUGGAUAUUAGGAGGAACACCGGUGGCGAAGGCGGCUUACUGGACCGUAACUGACGUUGAGGCUCGAAGGCGUGGGGAGCAAACAGGAUUAGAUACCCUGGUAGUCCACGCCGUAAACGGUGGGCGCUAGGUGUAGGGGUCUUCCACGACUUCUGUGCCGUAGCUAACGCAUUAAGCGCCCCGCCUGGGGAGUACGGCCGCAAGGCUAAAACUUAAAGGAAUUGACGGGG